CCUACGGGCGGCUGCAGUGGGGAAUAUUGCACAAUGGGCGCAAGCCUGAUGCAGCCAUGCCGCGUGUGUGAAGAAGGCCUUCGGGUUGUAAAGCACUUUCAGCGGGGAGGAAGGCGGUGAGGUUAAUAACCUCAUCGAUUGACGUUACCCGCAGAAGAAGCACCGGCUAACUCCGUGCCAGCAGCCGCGGUAAUACGGAGGGUGCAAGCGUUAAUCGGGAUUACUGGGCGUAAAGCGCACGCAGGCGGUCUGUCAAGUCGGAUGUGAAAUCCCCGGGCUCAACCUGGGAACUGCAUUCGAAACUGGCAGGCUAGAGUCGUGUAGAGGGGGGUAGAAUUCCAGGUGUAGCGGUGAAAUGCGUAGAGAUCUGGAGGAAUACCGGUGGCGAAGGCGGCCCCCUGGACAAAGACUGACGCUCAGGUGCGAAAGCGUGGGGAGCGAACAGGAUUAGAUACCCGUGUAGUC
RNAcentral lists this ribosomal RNA (465 nucleotides) under uncultured Klebsiella sp. Its description in RNAcentral is "bacterial SSU rRNA". It matches the Rfam family "Bacterial small subunit ribosomal RNA", at positions 338 to 795 of the family's 1533-position model. The record is from RNAcentral. Lineage: Bacteria; Pseudomonadati; Pseudomonadota; Gammaproteobacteria; Enterobacterales; Enterobacteriaceae.